RNAcentral lists this ribosomal RNA (426 nucleotides) under uncultured bacterium. RNAcentral's name for it is "partial 16S ribosomal RNA". It matches the Rfam family "Bacterial small subunit ribosomal RNA", at positions 354 to 796 of the family's 1533-position model. The record is from RNAcentral.
GUGAGGAAUUUUCAGCAAUGGGCGAAAGCCUGACGGAGCAAUGCCGCGUGAAGGAUGAAGGCCUAUGGGUUGUAAACUUCUUUUCUUAGAGAAGAAUAUUGACGGUAUCUGAGGAAUAAGCAUCGGCUAACUCUGUGCCAGCAGCCGCGGUAAGACAGAGGAUGCAAGCGUUAUCCGGAAUGAUUGGGCGUAAAGCGUCUGUAGGUGGCUUCAAAAGUCUCCUGUCAAAGAUCAGGGCUUAACCCUGGGGCGGCAGGGGAAACUCUGAGGCUAGAGUUUGGUAGGGGCAGAGGGAAUUCCCGGUGGAGCGGUGAAAUGCGUAGAGAUCGGGAGGAACACCAAAGGCGAAAGCACUCUGCUGGGCCACAACUGACACUGAGAGACGAAAGCGAGGGGAGCAAAAGGGAUUAGAAACCCCUGUAGUCC